UUUUUUUCUUUCUUUUCAUUUUAUUAGGUUAAUAAAACUUGUUUUCCAAGCUUUUGGUGGGGGGAUCCCAGGAGUGCAAUCAUCCUUGAUGUCAAAUUCAUCAGGUACCUAAUGAAAGGACUUUGGAGGUCUCUACUACAUCUGUACCUGAAGUUCUUGGUGUCUCAUAAAGUUAGUGACUUUGCCAACUUCCUGGAGGUUCAUGUCGGAUUCUGUAAAAGGACUGCAUUUCCUUUUGGAAUGGGGACUGGGAGAGAGAGGCAGCAGAAGCCCGGGUUCACCAGCAAAUUCAUUCAGUUGCACUCCAGUAGAAGCAGAGAUGGUAGUGGAUCAUGGAAGAAACCAGAAAAGAUUCCCUAAGAAGAUGACUAACCAAAUAUUAAUAUCCAUUGUAUCUGGAAUACCAGUGAUGUCACCAUGUGGACACUCUUUGGAAUGGCACAGGUGGAAACCUUUCUCUGCCACUUGGAGAUGACUUUAUAAGCAACUCUGUUCACCAAAAAAUCAUCCCCUGGAGCCCAAGCCUUCUGGUAAUGAAUGUUCCCACACUUGAUUUGACUGGACUUCCUUCUGAUGUCAUAGAAUCUACUCUGAUUGGCUCUUAACUGUCAUACCUUCAAGAACUUAGAUGGCUUCUAAGGAGUAUGCUGGAUAGAUCUCAAUGGAGUGGCUUGGGAGAGCUGAUUGUUAAAAUUCAGAGUGAAUAUUUGUAGCUGAAAAAUCAGCAAAUGUUACAAACUGAGACUUGAUUUGUUGUGUUGUUGUGUUUGGAAUUUCAAAAGUGACAGAGAAAAUGAAAACACUGCAGAUUAACUUUAAAAAUGUUUCUGCAUGAAUUAAUUUCUAGAGAGUUGGUUUGUCAACAUUUACCACUACAACAGCCCCUUAGCCAUAAUGAAAUACCUCUGCAAGAUGUAAGAGGAAGACAAGUGUUAGCUCAAACUGCAUCCACAUCCUCCUUUUCACUUUCUUCAGACCAUGAGCUUAUGUAUGAGUAGCCGUUGGCCACAUGCACCAUAACUAUAAUUAAAUGGGAAAUUAGAUGGCUUAGAUGGAAAUUUAGGGGGGGGGAAAGGAUCCUCUUGAGUCAUUAAAUGGGAAGGAGGGUUUAUCCGGAGAGAUUUUUUUUCCUCACUUAAAUUCUGGAUCUUCUAUAAUAUGAAAGGAGUUUGUAUGGCAUUGAAUCUGUCCAAAUUAAUCAGUGCUAAUGUAUUGAAAGAAAAAGAGGGAAAUGUGAAUUAAGAAGCCAUGAGUUCUAGUCUCAUACUGGCAUUGACAUAAACUAAUUAUAAGACAUAAGCAAGCCAUCUCCCUUCUCAGGACCUUAGUAUCCACCUCAAUAAAUGAGAGUUAUAUAAUCCCUACA
RNAcentral lists this long non-coding RNA (1366 nucleotides) under Monodelphis domestica (gray short-tailed opossum). Its description in RNAcentral is "lncRNA (ENSMODG00000042405.1)". Lineage: Eukaryota; Metazoa; Chordata; Mammalia; Didelphimorphia; Didelphidae. The record is from RNAcentral.